CGCAAUAGAAAAUAUACACUUAUUUUUCUCAAAAGCGCUGAAUCCCGCCUCGCAAGCUCGGCGGGAGGGAGAGAGGAACCCACACUCCUCUCAACCCUAGGAAAUCCACCUCCUUUGUAAAAGUGCUAACACCAACAAGUGUUCACCACCAAAGUGCAUGUGUGUUAGCUUUUCACAAACAUUUUCACCAAAGGAGUUAAG
This 201-nucleotide long non-coding RNA is filed under the name Sorghum bicolor (sorghum). Its description in RNAcentral is "long non-coding RNA (SBIC_LNC001331)". Lineage: Eukaryota; Viridiplantae; Streptophyta; Magnoliopsida; Poales; Poaceae. The record is from RNAcentral.